GGCUGCUUUAAUUUAUCCUCUCCUCGCAUCUCGUCUCCGCCGCCGCCACCGCCGCCGCCGUUCGUCGCUUCCGCGUCUGCCGGCCGCCGCUACCGCCGUUUGCCGCUUCCGCCUCCGCCGGCCGCCGGCCUCCGCCUUUCGCCGCUUCCGCGUUCGCAGGUCGCCGCCGCCGUUCGCUGCCUCCGCUGGCCGCUGCUGUCUCUACCUCUGUCUCAAUCAUGAAUCACCGACUGGAUGUGAGACCAAUAGUAUGGUGCAUCAGGGAUCCAUGAACCAAAUGGUUGAUAGGAAAACCAACUCAUAUAGGAUUCAGAAACCAUCUGUAGCAAUUCUGAAAGGGACUGCGACAAGCUAAGGGCAAUAAUGCUGUUCAAUUUCGAUGCAUUCCUUUUGCUGCCGUGGGUGAUACAAUUGAGAAUGGAUAUUGAAAAUUUCAGAAUGGACACUCAAUGCAUUGGACUGGAUUGAUUGUGUUUCCUGGUGACAUUCCAGGUUCCUAAUUGAAAGCCAUGUCAUUGAAGGCAGCAAACAACACUGUGAAUAUGCCUAAAGAGGAUAGUGUUGAAAGAAUUUACAUCUGAUGAUUCUUUUCUUUUUUGUAACCUGUUGUAGGCAAGUUGUAAGCACUGAAAAAUAUAGGUGCAUACCUGUAAUCUGUGCAAUGUUUUUCUCUGAAAUAUAUAUGUCUGACAUGUUCUCAAAUAUGCUAUUUGAUGGAUGUGUUACAGAAA
Panicum virgatum (switchgrass) is the source of this 731-nucleotide long non-coding RNA. RefSeq lists it as uncharacterized. The transcript is spliced from 2 exons. The record is from RefSeq and is a predicted model, not a curated record. Lineage: Eukaryota; Viridiplantae; Streptophyta; Magnoliopsida; Poales; Poaceae.